RNAcentral lists this ribosomal RNA (301 nucleotides) under uncultured bacterium. Its description in RNAcentral is "partial 16S ribosomal RNA". It matches the Rfam family "Bacterial small subunit ribosomal RNA", at positions 509 to 807 of the family's 1533-position model. The record is from RNAcentral.
CAGUAGCCGCGGGAAUACGUAGGUGGCAAGCGUUAUCCGGAAUUAUUGGGCGUAAAGCGCGCGCAGGCGGUUUCUUAAGUCUGAUGUGAAAGCCCACGGCUCAACCGUGGAGGGUCAUUGGAAACUGGGGAACUUGAGUGCAGAAGAGAAAAGCGGAAUUCCACGUGUAGCGGUGAAAUGCGUAGAGAUGUGGAGGAACACCAGUGGCGAAGGCGGCUUUUUGGUCUGUAACUGACGCUGAGGCGCGAAAGCGUGGGGAGCAAACAGGAUUAGAUACCCCAGUAGUCCCUGUCUCUUAUAC